Molecule: small nuclear RNA, 110 nt
Organism: Arvicanthis niloticus (Nile rat)
Lineage: Eukaryota; Metazoa; Chordata; Mammalia; Rodentia; Muridae
Source: RefSeq, a predicted model, not a curated record
GUUCAGCUCAGUGGCACACAUACUGAAAUUAAAGCAAUACAGAGAAGAUUAGCAUGGCCUCCUUCUGCUGCAAGGAUGAUAAGCAAACCUGUAAAAUGUGUUAUAUAGUU